CGGUCUGGGAAGGUCUCAGCCGACCAAAUGUGAACAACCAGCUUUAACUGCGAAUGGUCAUUCUGAAGCUACGUCCAAAGAACAUCUACAAGAUAAAUCCAUAGCAGCGAUUAGGGAAUAUUACAGGUAUUAUCUCAUUCUUUAUUCCUUUUUCUAUCCCAUAUUGUUUCAAGUUCUUGAUCCAAUUGGCAUGGAUAAAGUUAGUGUUGUGAGCUAAUCUGCAAAUUAGAAACACAUGAAUUGGAAUAUAUCGUUUAUGAUUUUGUGCUAUAGUGGAUUUUGUAUGUAUAUAUAUCGUUCACGAUCUCUCCACAUUUUUAAGUAUGUGGAGGUCUCACCAGUUAAUAAGUUAAGCAAUUUCAAAUAUAUGUACUAUUGUUACUUGAUCUUUUCUGGUUGUUCGUUUUAAAAAGUAAAAUCAAUUUUGGUUCCAGUGCUAGAGACGAGAAGGAAGUUGCACUGUGCAUCAAGGACUUGAAUUCGCCUGAAUUCCAUUCAUCCAUGAUUUCUCUUUGGGUCACAGACUCCUUUGAGAGACAAAACACAGAAAGAGGUCUUUUAGCUAAACUUCUUGUUAGCCUCACCAAAUCAAAGGAUGGUACAAUCACUCAACUCCAACUUCUCAAAGGGUAAGUGAUGAGGAGAAUAAAUUACAUAAUUAGUAUAUAUUUGAGCUAAUAUUCGGUUAGUUUUAAAUUUUGAUUGAUUAAUUAGUUAAUUCUCUUAUUUUCUUAUCAUGCUACAAACAGUAACUUUAGUAUUGUUAUAGGAACCUUUUGAAUAUAAACCUUUAUUCCUUAAGGAGGAUUCCCUUCCCUCAAUCCAAGAAAUGAAUUUAUUUGGUUUGAUCGUGAACCUGACCCAAUAUCUUUUCCCCAUCGAAAAUUGGAGCUUUGCUCCCCUAUACCUGAAAGUACUAGUGCUUUCUAAGAAUUCUCUUUUUUUUUUCCUUCCAGAAUCCAGUCCGUUCUUGCCACUCUGGAUGAUGCGGUGAAUGAUGCUCCGAAAGCUCCAGAAUUUAUGG
This 1024-nucleotide long non-coding RNA is filed under the name Cucumis sativus (cucumber). RNAcentral's name for it is "long non-coding RNA (CSAT_LNC000921)". The record is from RNAcentral. Lineage: Eukaryota; Viridiplantae; Streptophyta; Magnoliopsida; Cucurbitales; Cucurbitaceae.